GGGGAUGUAGCUCUGUGGCAGAGCAUAUGCCUAGUGUACAUGAGACCCUGGGUUCCAUCCCCAGCACCA
This 69-nucleotide transfer RNA is filed under the name Ictidomys tridecemlineatus (thirteen-lined ground squirrel). Its description in RNAcentral is "Spermophilus tridecemlineatus (thirteen-lined ground squirrel) tRNA". It matches the Rfam family "tRNA". From Rfam's summary of the family: Transfer RNA (tRNA) molecules are approximately 80 nucleotides in length. Their secondary structure includes four short double-helical elements and three loops (D, anti-codon, and T loops). Lineage: Eukaryota; Metazoa; Chordata; Mammalia; Rodentia; Sciuridae. The record is from Rfam by way of RNAcentral.